Molecule: ribosomal RNA, 679 nt
Filed under: uncultured fungus
Lineage: Eukaryota; Fungi
Description: eukaryotic LSU rRNA
Rfam family: 5.8S ribosomal RNA (bases 250-403)
Source: RNAcentral
CUUGGUCAUUUAGAGGAAGUAAAAGUCGUAACAAGGUUUCCGUAGGUGAACCUGCGGAAGGAUCAUUAUUGAAUUUACUGGGAGCUUGGAUGCUGGCAGUCUAUGAUUGCAUGUGCUCGCUCCUUUAAUCCACUUGACACAUGUGCACUUGAUUUUUUGAAGGCGGGGUAGAGCUUGUCUUUGAAAUCUUAUUAAACUCUUAUUCGAUGUAAUGAAUAUUCUUAUCUGCCAAAGGGCAAAAUUUGAUACAACUUUUAACAACGGAUCUCUUGGCUCUCGCAUCGAUGAAGAACGCAGCGAAAUGCGAUAAGUAAUGUGAAUUGCAGAAUUCAGUGAAUCAUCGAAUCUUUGAACGCACCUUGCACUCUCUGGUAUUCCGGAGAGUACUCCUGUUCGAGUGUCAUGGAAACUCUCAAGUAGAGAUAGCUUUGUUGUUAUCCUUGCUUGGAUUUGGGCUUUGCUGUGCCAAUGCAGCUGGCCCUAAAUGCAUUAGCUGGUCCUAAUGAAGGAUUUGGUUCUACUCAGCAUGAUAAUUGGUCUGAUGUUGAGGACAGUCUUAAGAGACUGGCCAGUCGUCUUUGGAUUGCUUCUAAUUGUCCUUGGACAUAACUGUUUGAUUGUCUGACCUCGGAUCAGGUGGGAUUACCCGCUGAACUUAAGCAUAUCAAUAAGCGGAGGA